Molecule: transfer RNA, 66 nt
Filed under: Gordionus wolterstorffii
Lineage: Eukaryota; Metazoa; Nematomorpha; Gordioida; Chordodea; Parachordodidae
Description: tRNA-Thr
Source: RNAcentral
GGUACUAAUGGUGUAAGCCUAAACACGCUAUUUUUGUAAAAUAGAAAUCUUUAAGAAGUUGCACCU